This 402-nucleotide unclassified non-coding RNA is filed under the name soil metagenome. RNAcentral's name for it is "partial contains 5.8S ribosomal RNA, internal transcribed spacer 2, and large subunit ribosomal RNA". The stretch from base 1 to 121 matches the Rfam family "5.8S ribosomal RNA", at positions 35 to 154 of the family's 154-position model. The record is from RNAcentral.
GAUGAAGAACGUAGCGAAAUGCGAUAAGUAAUGUGAAUUGCAGAAUUCAGUGAAUCAUCGAAUCUUUGAACGCACCUUGCGCCCUUUGACUAUUCCGAAGGGCAUGCCUGUUUGAGUAUCGUGAACACCUCAACUCUCAUGGUUUGCCAUGAUGAGCUUGGACUUUGGGGGUUUUGCUGGCCUUUGGUCGGCUCCUCUCGAACGGAUCAGCUUUCCAGUGUUUGGUGGCGUCACGGGUGUGAUAACUAUCUACGCCUGUGGUUUUCUGCCAGAUAACCUUCAGCGAUGGAGGUUCGCUGGGGCUCAUAAAUGUCUCUCUUCAGUGGAGACAGCUUUUUGGACGUUUGAUCUCAAAUCAGGUAGGACUACCCGCUGAACUUAAGCAUAUCAAUAAGCGGAGGA